CUCCAGCUAACGAGUCCCAAAUAGGACGAAACACGCGUCCUGGAU
RNAcentral lists this non-coding RNA (45 nucleotides) under Schistosoma margrebowiei. Lineage: Eukaryota; Metazoa; Platyhelminthes; Trematoda; Strigeidida; Schistosomatidae. The record is from RNAcentral.